UGGCAAACGGCCGGUCUAAACAUGCAAGUCGAGGGAGGAGCUUUCGGGCUUCGACCGGCGUACGGGUGCGUAACGCGUAUACAAUCUGCCUUUCACAUAGGGAUAGCCCGAAGAAAUUUGGAUUAAUACCUAAUGGUAUAUAGGGAUGGCAUCAUUUUUAUAUUAAAGCUGAGGCGGUGAAAGAUGAGUAUGCGUUCUAUUAGCUAGUUGGAGAGGUAACGGCUCCCCAAGGCGACGAUAGAUAGGGGUUCUGAGAGGGAUAUCCCCCACACUGGUACUGAGAUACGGACCAGACUCCUACGGGAGGCAGCAGUGAGGAAUGUUGGACAAUGGUCGGAAGACUGAUCCAGCCAUGCCGCGUGCAGGAAGACGGCCUUAUGGGUUGUAAACUGCUUUUGCAGGGGAAGAAUAAGGACUACGCGUAGUUUGAUGACGGUACUCUGCGAAUAAGCAUCGGCUAACUCCGUGCCAGCAGCCGCGGUAAUACGGAGGAUGCGAGCGUUAUCCGGAAUCAUUGGGUUUAAAGGGUCCGUAGGCGGGCUAAUAAGUCAGAGGUGAAAGCGCUCAGCUCAACUGAGCAACUGCCUUUGAAACUGUUAGUCUUGAAUGGUUGUGAGGUAGUUGGAAUGUG
RNAcentral lists this ribosomal RNA (631 nucleotides) under uncultured bacterium. RNAcentral's name for it is "bacterial SSU rRNA". It matches the Rfam family "Bacterial small subunit ribosomal RNA", at positions 33 to 670 of the family's 1533-position model. The record is from RNAcentral.